RNAcentral lists this ribosomal RNA (923 nucleotides) under Pseudomonas baetica. RNAcentral describes it as "bacterial SSU rRNA". It matches the Rfam family "Bacterial small subunit ribosomal RNA", at positions 41 to 962 of the family's 1533-position model. Lineage: Bacteria; Pseudomonadati; Pseudomonadota; Gammaproteobacteria; Pseudomonadales; Pseudomonadaceae. The record is from RNAcentral.
GGCAGACUACACAUGCAGUCGAGCGGAUGAAGGAGCUUGCUCCUGGAUUCAGCGGCGGACGGGUGAGUAACGCCUAGGAAUCUGCCUGGUAGUGGGGGACAACGUUUCGAAAGGAACGCUAAUACCGCAUACGUCCUACGGGAGAAAGCAGGGGACCUUCGGGCCUUGCGCUAUCAGAUGAGCCUAGGUCGGAUUAGCUAGUUGGUGAGGUAAUGGCUCACCAAGGCGACGAUCCGUAACUGGUCUGAGAGGAUGAUCAGUCACACUGGAACUGAGACACGGUCCAGACUCCUACGGGAGGCAGCAGUGGGGAAUAUUGGACAAUGGGCGAAAGCCUGAUCCAGCCAUGCCGCGUGUGUGAAGAAGGUCUUCGGAUUGUAAAGCACUUUAAGUUGGGAGGAAGGGUUGUAAAUUAAUACUUUGCUGUUUUGACGUUACCGACAGAAUAAGCACCGGCUAACUCUGUGCCAGCAGCCGCGGUAAUACAGAGGGUGCAAGCGUUAAUCGGAAUUACUGGGCGUAAAGCGCGCGUAGGUGGUUUGUUAAGUUGGAUGUGAAAUCCCCGGGCUCAACCUGGGAACUGCAUCCAAAACUGGCAAGCUAGAGUAUGGUAGAGGGUGGUGGAAUUUCCUGUGUAGCGGUGAAAUGCGUAGAUAUAGGAAGGAACACCAGUGGCGAAAGCGACCACCUGGACUGAUACUGACACUGAGGUGCGAAAGCGUGGGGAGCAAACAGGAUUAGAUACCCUGGUAGUCCACGGCCGUAAACGAUGUCAACUAGCCGUUGGGAGCCUUGAGCUCUUAGUGGCGCAGCUAACGCAUUAAGUUGACCGCCUGGGGAGUACGGCCGCAAGGUUAAAACUCAAAUGAAUUGACGGGGGCCCGCACAAGCGGUGGAGCAUGUGGGUUAAUUCGAAGCAACGC